Molecule: ribosomal RNA, 325 nt
Filed under: uncultured soil bacterium
Lineage: Bacteria
Description: bacterial SSU rRNA
Rfam family: Bacterial small subunit ribosomal RNA
Source: RNAcentral
AGAGUGAACGCUGGCGGUAGGCCUAACACAUGCAAGUCGAACGGCAGCACGGUAAGAGCUUGCUCUUAUGGGUGGCGAGUGGCGGACGGGUGAGGAAUACAUCGGAAUCUACCUUUUGGUGGGGGAUAACGUAGGGAAACUUACGCUAAUACCGCAUACGCCCUUCGGGGGAAAGCCGGGGACCAGGCAAUGGCCUGGCGCUGAUAGAUGAGCCGAUGUCGGAUUAGCUAGUUGGUGAGGUAAUGGCUCACCAAGGCGACGAUCCGUAGCUGGUCUGAGAGGAUGAUCAGCCACACUGGAACUGAGACACGGUCCAGACUCCUAU